This 1250-nucleotide long non-coding RNA is filed under the name Homo sapiens (human). Its description in RNAcentral is "HSALNT0231420". The record is from RNAcentral. Lineage: Eukaryota; Metazoa; Chordata; Mammalia; Primates; Hominidae.
CGCAAGAUGCAGAUGAGGGUGUGUGCUUCUACUUAGCUCCUCUUGCUCUUAAGAGAAUGCCUGGGGCCUUUAAUAAAUGCCUUGUGCUUGGGCAGUAGACAGAUGGUUAGAAGGGGCACCUGCGGAUGCCAGGCAGCUGGCUUCAAACUCCAGCUUUGCCAAUGACUGGCUGUGUGACGUGGGCAGGUCCUAGCAACCCUCUCCUCUGCAUCAUCUAUCAAUUGGGAGGAAGAUGCUCGAACUGACCAUGUGGCUUGUUGAGAGGCCUGGGCGGCCGACCUGAGUGAGUGUGUGAGUGAGCAGCACUCAGCCUAUCUUCUCUUGUUAUCCUCUGGCGUCUUCUCCUGCUGCCUCCUCUAGCUUCCUGUUUUUCAGCUAUGCCAAGUCUCUCUCCGCUCCUCCAGGCUCGCUCCUAUGGCAGGGUCUUCGCACCCGCUGUUUCCUCCUCCAUGCCUUGCCCCUUCCCCCAGUUACAGAAGGGACCGUGAAGUCCCCUUGGCUUCCCCAUCAACAGCCCUGAUUGAUGCUUAAAUAAGAACAGAUUCUUCUCUGCCCCCAAAUAAAGAGUGACUCUCUCCCUACCCAGAGUCUCUGAACCCACCAUCUGUGGACUUGGCUAAACCUGUGCCAAGGAUCAUGGCAGGCUGACAGCAGGUCGUCUCUGGAGAGGAACCUGGGAAGUAUCAACAUCUCCAGAGGAGCAGGGCUCUCGGAGGGGGAAAGGGCCUCACGUGGAGGUGGCAGAAACACUUGCGGCCUUAGGAUCCAACCCAGGACACCCACCUUUGGCUGGCUCAUUGACUAUCUGAUCACAGAGUCCAUUUAGGAGGGUCCAUGGAAGAAGCUGCUCUUGAGUUUUAAGUCCAGGGAAAAGCAAAUCAUCACUGGAGGAAUCAAAUUGUUUUUACUGUAUGGACAUUGUAAAAUCUGUAAAAACCAACCUCUCUAACCAGGGUGCAGGUUCCCUAAGCGGAAAUGCAGCUAUCAAACUUGGACACAAUACAGGGGGCAGCUAUUUGAGGACUCUGAGAAGUAAGAGUAGCAGGCAGAUUCAAGAAGAGCAAAAUGUAAAAUAUCACUGAACUGAGGGGAAAUUAAAACUUACCUUCGCAUUAAAACCUGUACACAAAUGUUGAAAGCACUUCUACGCAUAAUUGCCAAAAGCUGAAAACAAUGCAAAUUUCCUUCAGUGGGUAAAUGCAUAAACCAACUGUGGUUUAGCCAUACAAUGGAAUAGUACUCAACAAAAU